UACGAAGGGGGCUAGCGUUGUUCGGAAUCACUGGGCGUAAAGCGCUUGUAGGCGGAUCGUUAAGUCAGGGGUGAAAUCCCGAGGCUCAACCUCGGAACUGCCUCUGAUACUGGCAAUCUUUGAGUCCGGGAGAGGUGAGUGGAACUCCGAGUGUAGAGGUGAAAUUCGUAGAUAUUCGGAAGAACACCAGUGGCGAAGGCGGCUCACUGGCCCGGUACUGACGCUUAAGAGCGAAAGCGUGGGGAGCAAACAGG
This 254-nucleotide ribosomal RNA is filed under the name uncultured bacterium. RNAcentral describes it as "partial 16S ribosomal RNA". It matches the Rfam family "Bacterial small subunit ribosomal RNA", at positions 524 to 776 of the family's 1533-position model. The record is from RNAcentral.